Molecule: transfer RNA, 70 nt
Filed under: Dipodomys ordii (Ord's kangaroo rat)
Lineage: Eukaryota; Metazoa; Chordata; Mammalia; Rodentia; Heteromyidae
Rfam family: tRNA
About the family: Transfer RNA (tRNA) molecules are approximately 80 nucleotides in length.
Source: Rfam by way of RNAcentral
GGGAAUGUGGCUUAGUGGUAGAGUGCUUGCCUUGUAUGCAUGAAGCCCUGGGUUUGAUUCCUCAGCACCA